This 1650-nucleotide long non-coding RNA is filed under the name Pelobates cultripes (western spadefoot toad). The record is from RNAcentral. Lineage: Eukaryota; Metazoa; Chordata; Amphibia; Anura; Pelobatidae.
CCUCUUUUGAUCCAAGGGUCACCCAAAUGUCCAAGGUAUUUCCAGGCCUGCUAGCCAAAGCCUGUGGGACUUUCAUUUAUUGCUUCACCACGGUUCCCUUGGACUGAGAGACCACCAGAAUCAGCGGAGGAGAGUUCCUUCAUUUGUUAGGCGAGGUAACAUCAUAAAACCUUUCUGAAGUCGGAGCUGGAAUGUAAGUUAAGGUACUGUCAGGGUGGCGGUACGGAAACCGGGACCCCUGAGUGCCUGAUGAUAAGUGGGAGUCUUCAGCGUGCAGGGUAACCGCACGCUCCCUGGUGUUGAGCACCAGCGUUUGCGUGGCCACAUACCAGAACACUGAUGCAGCUACAGCGGAUCCCAGGAACUAGGAGCUUGGAAAUAAGCAGACCUCCCAGGAGCUGGAUAGGGGGGCUCUACAGCAGACAUGUAUCCAGUACAGAAACAAGGCAAGGUUAGGAUAGUCACCAAACAUGAAAAACAAGACAGAACUAAUAGAACCCAGAACCAGAGAAGGAUAGGAAGCUAAAACACAGAACAUGUACACAAGACAUGAGGGAACAUUAACUAAACAGGGGCAGGACAGGACAGGACUGGGAAUACAAAAUAAAACAAGACAAGAUAUAAUAGGCAAAACAAGAGGAGACAUAACUAAGCAUUAUAUAUGAAAAUCAUGGGGGUUUAGUCACAUUAUAUGAUCAUAUUAUAUGAGUAGGACCUGCCAGAUAUGGGGUACAUUGGCCUGCCACAACGCCAAUGUACCCCAUAUCUGGCAGGUCCUACUCUGCCUAAUGUUCGCUAAAAGAACCAUACUAAACCACAAUAUAGCACCUACCUGCAAGAAAGGGCAGAGACUUGAAACACUGCUGCAGGUCCAGGCUGAAACAAAAGGAAAGUGGAAGACAAACGGGUGUGCAGGGAUGUAUUUACCACAAGGCAAACAAGGCAUUUGCCUAGGGCGGCACUUUCAGGGGGGGCGCCAAAAAAUGCCACCAGAAGCUCCUAGACAAAUGUGUUGCUUGACUUGUGUUCUGGGACUGUCCACCUUACUGUGAGUGAGUGUAGCUGUCAGUGUGUGUCUGUGAGUGAGUGAAAGUGUGUGUGUAUUUCAGUGAGAAUGGGUGUGCCUGUGAAUGUGUGUCAGUGUGUGUAUAUCAUUUUAUGUUUAUCUGAGAGUGUGUGCCUGUCAAUGAGUGGGUGUGUCAGUGUGUGUCUGUCAGUGAAAGUGUGUGUUGGUUAAACAGUGUGUACCAAUGACUGUGUAUCUGUCAGUCAAAAAAGUGGCCUUGACACGAAUUGGGGGGGACAAAUUUAGAUUUUGGGGGUGCCCGAAUUUAGUCGUGCCUAGGGCAGCACAAAUCCAAAAUACACCACUGCGGGUGUGGCCACAUAAAUCAAACAUUUAAAUGAAACCUGGACACUGGGAAAUCCAGGGACGGACUAUAAGAAUGAACCCAGAAACCCAGCAUAAAGAAAAACAGACAUGGGAUAGAAAACCAAAAAACCAAGAAAAACUAAGCAAGAAUUGUAAAAAAGAGUACUGGAUACCAGUAGCCAAAGCCAGACAUCUCCGCAGAACAUGGCAUGAUGUGAGAGGUACGACCAACAGUAGGUUUGCUUUUACAUAGAGAGGUUAGUAGACAUGAAAAAAAU